RNAcentral lists this unclassified non-coding RNA (272 nucleotides) under Hevea brasiliensis (rubber tree). The record is from RNAcentral. Lineage: Eukaryota; Viridiplantae; Streptophyta; Magnoliopsida; Malpighiales; Euphorbiaceae.
GUAAUCAAUGCCUCAGGGACACUCCAUAUGAAUGGGAAAACCAAGAACCCCAAAAGAGCAAGAAGAGGACCAGCUGCCCGCACAGUGUCCUCAACACCAAAAGGACCACCAGAAACCUCAUAGAAAAUGAGGAAAAGUAAAGGCAAGACUGAAACUUUCCUAGCAUUAUUUUCUCUGGGUGAUGUAACCUCAUUAAUCCCUGCAUACUCUCCAUCAUCGAACUCCCCCAUUGGUAUUGCAGCUUCUCUAUGAGCAGAAAGCCCUCAAUUUCU